This 515-nucleotide ribosomal RNA is filed under the name uncultured bacterium. RNAcentral's name for it is "partial 16S ribosomal RNA". It matches the Rfam family "Bacterial small subunit ribosomal RNA", at positions 28 to 523 of the family's 1533-position model. The record is from RNAcentral.
GAUGAACGCUGGCGGCGUGCCUAAUACAUGCAAGUCGAGCGAAUGGAUUAAGAGCUUGCUCUUAUGAAGUUAGCGGCGGACGGGUGAGUAACACGUGGGUAACCUGCCCAUAAGACUGGGAUAAUUCCGGGAAACCGGGGCUAAUACCGGAUAACAUUUUGAACCGCAUGGUUCGAAAUUGAAAGGCGGCUUCGGCUGUCACUUAUGGAUGGACCCGCGUCGCAUUAGCUAGUUGGUGAGGUAACGGCUCACCAAGGCAACGAUGCGUAGCCGACCUGCGAGGGUGGUCCGCCACACUGGGACUGAGACACGGCCCAGACUCCUACGGGAGGCAGCAGUAGGGAAUCUUCCGCAAUGGACGAAAGUCUGACGGAGCAACGCCGCGUGAGUGAUGAAGGCUUUCGGGUCGUAAAACUCUGUUGUUAGGGAAGAACAAGUGCUAGUUGAAUAAGCUGGCACCUUGACGGUACCUAACCAGAAAGCCACGGCUAACUACGUGCCAGCAGCCGCCGCGG